Molecule: non-coding RNA, 339 nt
Organism: Paramuricea clavata
Lineage: Eukaryota; Metazoa; Cnidaria; Anthozoa; Malacalcyonacea; Plexauridae
Source: the annotation of a GenBank genome assembly
AGAAAUAUUUUUCGUGGCAAAAAUUUUGCUGACCCAACCAUUAAAAAGUCAGGAAUUUGAUUACCCAACCUCAAAUAUCAAUUAAAAAAUAAAGACCCACCCCUGGCCAAAAACUUUACAAAAGGAUACCAUUCAGUUGUCACACAUGUCCUUUACCACUUCUGUGACAUGAAUUUGAUAACUGCUUGUGAAAUUUUCUGCAGUAUAAAGUUUCAUAUUGUCUGCACAUGUACUUUCUUUGGAGACAGCAUUUGUCUCUCAACAUAUUGGGAAAUGAUCAAGAUAGUGACUCUGAUUGAUUCACAUAUUGUAUUGACAUAUGACUGAGCUACUGUUGAC